RNAcentral lists this transfer RNA (73 nucleotides) under Urocitellus parryii (Arctic ground squirrel). Its description in RNAcentral is "Spermophilus parryii (Arctic ground squirrel) tRNA". It matches the Rfam family "tRNA". Rfam says of the family: Transfer RNA (tRNA) molecules are approximately 80 nucleotides in length. Their secondary structure includes four short double-helical elements and three loops (D, anti-codon, and T loops). Further hydrogen bonds mediate the characteristic L-shaped molecular structure. tRNAs have two regions of fundamental functional importance: the anti-codon, which is responsible for specific mRNA codon recognition, and the 3' end, to which the tRNAs corresponding amino acid is attached (by aminoacyl-tRNA synthetases). tRNAs cope with the degeneracy of the genetic code in two manners: having more than one tRNA (with a specific anti-codon) for a particular amino acid; and 'wobble' base-pairing, i.e. permitting non-standard base-pairing at the 3rd anti-codon position. Lineage: Eukaryota; Metazoa; Chordata; Mammalia; Rodentia; Sciuridae. RNAcentral also lists the same sequence under 1 other name. The record is from Rfam by way of RNAcentral.
GGUGAUGUAGCUCAGUAGUAACUGAGCAUUUACCUAGCAGGUAGAACCCUGGGUUUGAUUCCCAGCACUGCAA